CGGGGACCCGCACAAGCGGUGGAUGAUGUGGAUUAAUUCGAUGCAACGCGAAAAACCUUACCUACCCUUUGACAUGCCAGGAACUUGCCAGAGAUGGCUUGGUGCCCGAAAGGGAGCCUGGACACAGGUGCUGCAUGGCUGUCGUCAGCUCGUGUCGUGAGAUGUUGGGUUAAGUCCCGCAACGAGCGCAACCCUUGUCAUUAGUUGCCAUCAUUCAGUUGGGCACUCUAAUGAGACUGCCGGUGACAAACCGGAGGAAGGGUGGGGAUGACGUCAAGUCCUCAUGGCCCUUAUGGGUAGGGCUUCACACGUCAUACAAUGGUCGGUACAGAGGGUUGCCAAGCCGCGAGGUGGAGCCAAUCCCAGAAAGCCGGUCUCAGUUCGGAUUGGGGUCUGCAACUCGACCCCAUGAAGUCGGAGUCGCUAGUAAUCGCAGAUCAGCAACGCUGCGGUGAAUACGUUCCCGGGCCUU
This 472-nucleotide ribosomal RNA is filed under the name uncultured Zoogloea sp. Its description in RNAcentral is "bacterial SSU rRNA". It matches the Rfam family "Bacterial small subunit ribosomal RNA", at positions 914 to 1382 of the family's 1533-position model. Lineage: Bacteria; Pseudomonadati; Pseudomonadota; Betaproteobacteria; Rhodocyclales; Zoogloeaceae. The record is from RNAcentral.